UAAGAUUUUUUCCAGCAAAUUAGGGAUUUUCCAAUUUUAAUUAUCUCAGUCCGUCAGUCGUCGACAACCUUCGCUCAGGCUACAAAGGUGCAUAUUAUUUUUUAUAUAUUUUUUCCUUUAGUCAGACGAGUUGGCCAUGAAUUGAGAUUUGAAGCUCUAUGCAUUUAGCUCUGAAAUUUUGGGUGAAAAAGUAGUGCAGGCCUUUCCCAGUGGGUGUUGGAUAGCAAACAGUCCAUGUCAUGCUCAUCUUAAACUAAAUCAGCUGGCACACUCAUUUGCCUCUAAAGUUGAAACGAAUGCGUAGUCAAACAGAUAAAGAAGAGCACGGAGAAAUUGUUGCCUUAUGCUGGAGUAUUUGGCAAUCUAGAAACAACUUGGUUUGGAAUCAGAAAAAGUGUGAAGUGAAUUUUGUAGUUUUCUCGACAAAGCAGUAUCUUGCAGAAUGGAAAAACACUCAAGUAAUGUCAACACAGGCUCUUUACCAGGAUGUGAAACAUGGUGAUGGAGCAAUUUCCUGGGUGAGACCUAAAAAAGAUGUGGUCAAGAUAACCAUCGACGCUGCGUUAUUUGCUGAAAGCUCUAAGUAUGGCAUUGGGUUAUUAGCUCGGGAUGAUAAAGGAGACGUGAUUCAAGGCCGAUCAGAGGUGUUUCAAGGAGUAGUGCUUCAAGAAUUUGCAGAGGCCAUUGCAGUAAAGGAAGCUCUAAGUUGGGUAAAGGGAAGAGAAUGGAGGGAGGUAGUAGUUGAAUCAGACUGUUUGGCUGUGGUACAAGCUAUCAGGAGUAAUGUCGACAUGAGGUCUCCUUUUGGCAGCUUAAUUAUGGAGUGUCGUUUGAUGAUUUCUGAACUAAACAUAGAUUUAUGUUUUAUUAGACGAUCUGCUAACAUGGCAGCUCACUGUAUCGUGAGAGAGUCAUGUUCUUUUCCAGGUCGAGUAUUCGAUAGGAGGUCUGUUCCCGUUGAAUUGGAGUCUAUUUUGUUGGCUGAUUUGUUUGAGUAAUAUUUUCCUUUUCUGUCAAAAAAAAAGGUUGGUGUAUCGGUUAUUAAAUAAAUAUUUAAUUAAGUACUUAUGCUCACAAGUCAUAAUGGUCUUUUUCUGAGCAGGUAAAUGGAGCAACCUCCUAAGAGAAGAUGCAGCCUAAUAUUGUUGUUACAGGGGAUAUUCUUGAACAACGGAGACUGGCUAAACAAUGUAGCAACAUUGCACGUAGAAUAGGCAAUUUUCCCUCUGUAUACACUAUAUCAACCGGUCCAUCCGGCACAGCUCCACAGACUGCUCUAUACCAGGUAUUUUAACAUCUAUUUUUUUAGUAUUGGAAAGCAUCGGUGGUUAAUCUUUUGCCGCCUUAUAAAUCUACCAAGCCUUAGGAAUAGCUGAGGUGAUUUCUUUCAGCAAACUUGAGGUGAUUUCUUUCAGCAAACUUAGGGAACUGGUGAUUAUUUUUCAUUGUUGAUUGAAGCUUUGGGUAAGAAUUAUUUUAUUUUCAGUACUUCGUAAUAUCUGUCUCGAGUGAAAUGCUGGGGCUUGGAGGUAAGAACUGUCAGUCACGCUAAUUAGAAUUUUCAAUUAUGGAAGGGGCAACAGGCUUGGCAAAAAUAAGGAAAUAAGGAGUUGAUGUACUUAAGGUUUAGUCGAGAAAUGGACAGUUCAAUUGAAAGAAUAACUUAUAGAUGAUAACUGAUUUUUUAAAAUUAUGCAGUUCCUGAUUUUCGUGGAGACCCAAUCUGUGUAGAGAAAGUUGAAAAAUCCGGAUUAGAGGUCUUAGCUCAUAAUAUUGACACAAUUGAAGAGCUACAAAAUGCGGUCCGAGACCACCGUGCUACUUUUAAGAAAUCUAUUGAUGUUCUAAUAAAAGCCAAAGAAUAUGCUCCGGCUGGGACCCUGACUAAAGCAUCAGUGAUGUUGGGAUGUGGUGAAACACCAGAACAAGUAGUGAGAACCAAGAAGAGGGAAGCAGGCGUUGAUGUGAUAUUUAGUUAUUGCCCAAGUUUUUUGAAUUCCACAAAAUUUACUCUUAGCGUCUGUUGCUGCAUUUGAUCUUGCUCGAAUUCUUUCAGGGAUUCUGCUAUGUGGCAUCUGGACCAAUGGUCCGGUCAUCGUACAAGGCUGGUGAAUAUUACAUCAAGUCCAUGAUAGAAGUAGAUCGAGCUGCAUCAUCAUCAUCAAUUCAUCAUAGUGGUUAGUCAGAAAAGGAUCAAUUAAUCCAGUGCUAAUAUGUCUUUCAUAAAGAAUAAUCAUUGCUUAGUUGUGCACGUGGUCGAGAUACAUGUCAUAUGUUUUGGUGGCACUAAAUGGCAGUUUGUACCUUACCAAUACAAAAUUUAGAAUCGGUACGUAUAUGUUAAAUUCAAUAUGAAUUAUAUGUAAUUUAAGAUGAUGCUAAAUCAUAAAAGAGGUGAAAUUGUAAGAAACAAUUUCAUUUGCAAUCAGGUAACCUGUUGGAAAUAUAUGAAUCAGGGGAUGUUGCUUAUGCUUAUUGGUUUA
Molecule: RNA transcript, 2483 nt
Organism: Daucus carota subsp. sativus
Lineage: Eukaryota; Viridiplantae; Streptophyta; Magnoliopsida; Apiales; Apiaceae
Exons: 5
Source: RefSeq, a predicted model, not a curated record